GACGAACGCUGGCGGCGUGCCUAAUACAUGCAAGUAGAACGCGGAAGGAGGAGCUUGCUUCUCUGGAUGAGUUGCGAACGGGUGAGUAACGCGUAGGUAACCUGCCUGGUAGCGGGGGAUAACUCUUGGACACGAUAGCUAAUACCGCAUAAGAGUAGACGUUGCAUGACAUUCGCUUAAAAGGUGCACUUGCAUCACUACCAGAUGCACAUGCGUUGUAUUAGCUAGUUGGUGUGGUAACGGCUCAUCAAGGCGACGAUACAUAGCCGACCUGAGAGGGUGAUCGGCCACGCUGGGCAGGAGACGCGGCCCAGCACCCUGGGGGAGAGACACGGCGGGGAUCCUGAGCGAUGGAAGGAAGUCUGACCAAGCGACGCCGCGAGAGAGCAGGAGGUUGUCGGAUCGAAAAGGUCUGGUAUGACAGAAGAACGAGUGUGAGAGUUGAACGUUCACACUGUGACGGUACCGGGACAAAAAGCGACGGCUAACUACGUG
Molecule: ribosomal RNA, 495 nt
Filed under: uncultured bacterium
Lineage: Bacteria
Description: partial 16S ribosomal RNA
Rfam family: Bacterial small subunit ribosomal RNA
Source: RNAcentral